RNAcentral lists this long non-coding RNA (1488 nucleotides) under Macaca fascicularis (crab-eating macaque). RNAcentral describes it as "lncRNA (ENSMFAG00000047557.1)". Lineage: Eukaryota; Metazoa; Chordata; Mammalia; Primates; Cercopithecidae. The record is from RNAcentral.
GAAUAGGUCGGGCGUUGUGGCUCAUGCCUGUAAUCCCAGCACUUUGGUAGGAUGAAGUGGGCAGAUCACCUGAGGUCAGGAGUUCAAGACUAGCCAACAUGGCAAAACCCAUCUCUACUGAAAAAAAAAAAAAAAAAUUCAAAACCAGUAUUAUACUUCAUAAAGGAAAUUCCAAAACCUCCUUAACUGGUUGUUUCUUUCACAAAAGUUACUCUACACACGUGCCCCAAAAUUAAGAUUUCAAAGACAUUGGGGAAAAUACUACUACUAAGAUAUCAAAACCAGGAACUUACUUCCUUUAAAACAAUUCCAAACUAACUCGCUGUGCCUUUCACAGAAAUUUCCCACAAUAAAUAUGAUUUUAUAAAGCCUGAGAAGUUGCUUCUGUUAGGACAACCACCAAACCUAAAAAUUGGGUUUAAUUAGCAACAACAACAAAAUGCCAUUUUAACUGGCUGUCCUUAUCAGAGACAGUCCACUAAAUAAUACAAUUGGCAAAAAGUGAGAUUUGUUAAGGGUUGGGGUGCUUUAUCACGAACAUUAUAUAAACCAGGAAUGUAUUUUAUUUAAUAAACUUCAACCUGCCGGUCACUCCCUCCCUUCGAGGCGUUCUGCAACAAAACACCUGCCUAGAAAUAAAAAGGGCGUUUUACCCGAGUGGGAUGAAAAAGCCCCGUUUUUACCUUUAAUCUCGAGACAAUACGGGUCAGAGGUCAAGAAACUGUGUCAGCGACAGCGAGGGCGUCCGUGAGUCCGGUGGACUAAUGGGGAUGGGCCGGGACGCAGCCCAGGUCCCAGUUCCCGCCCUGGCGAUGGCCGAUUUCAUACCUGAGGACGAUGAAGGCGAGGACUAAACGCCGCUGACCCUCCGGCGUCCCAUGUCCAGCGGGUGCUACAGCCCCCGCUUGGGUGGAACAGCCCAAGACUGCGGAACCACACUUGCCACUGCGAACCUGCACACCAUCUGCACACCCAGCCUGUUCUGGGAUUCCGGAAACGCGAAGGCGGGCUUCCGGAAACGGUGACCAGUGGGAAACGCGAUCAGAUGUGACUAGGCGGACAGUCCGUUUCCAGCCAACACAGAAGGAAGGGACGCUUUCAGUCAGCCUCAAAUAGACGGAGCUUUCAGCCAAUGGAUGUGCAGGUUUGCUCCACAUUAGCCAAUAAGAAGUGCUUGGGGCCGACCUGCCUACAAGCGCAGCAAAAGCUUUCCUCCGCGUAUCUGCGGUGGAAUGCCUACCCGCGCGCCAAACCCAAACUUUGCAGUCAGUUUGGUGCUGUUUCCUACACUUUCAUGGAGAUUUGCAGCAGGCGCAGGAGACCCUCCCACCUGGCCCAUGCCCUCCGCCCGGUGAACACCGAGACCCAACCUUGUUCACCGCCAGUCCCAGUCUUGUGAUCAACAAACAGGCUAGUAAAUUAUAAAAAUUAAAAAUAGGCCGGGCGCGGUGGCUCAAGCCUGUAAUCCCAGCACUUUGGGAGGCCGAG